Molecule: ribosomal RNA, 585 nt
Filed under: Triticum aestivum (bread wheat)
Lineage: Eukaryota; Viridiplantae; Streptophyta; Magnoliopsida; Poales; Poaceae
Description: partial small subunit ribosomal RNA
Source: RNAcentral
AUGUGUGUUCCAAAAGAUCAAGGAGGUAUGGUAUUCCGUGAUAUUCACUGUUUCAAUCUUGCUUUGCUAGCUAAACAAGCGUGGCGUCUACCGGAAAAUCCCGACUCUUUAUGUGUAUCUAUAUUGAGAGCUAAAUAUUUCCCUGAUGUGGACCUAAUGAAUUCAAGCAUAAAUAGGGGCUCAUCUUUUACCUGGCAAAGUAUUAUGGCAGGAGUUAAUUCACUGAAAAAUGGGUAUAUCUAAUGAGUGGGAAAUGGACAGAAUAUCGAUAUUUGGAAAGAUGUUUGGAUUUCGCAUUGUGCAAAUAGGAAAAUUAUUUCCCCAAGAGGAAGGAACCUCUUGUCAAAGGUUUCUGAUCUUAUUGACCCAACCACGAAUUUGUGGGAUGAAGAUUUGGUGAGACAAAUGAUGUGGCCGAUCGAUGCUCAACGAGUCUUUGCGAUCCCCCUUCCUUGGCACAACCUGUUGGAUUUUAUUGAGUGGAGUUAUACAAAAAAUGGGUUGCUCACUGUUCGAUCAGCCUAUUUGGCGGAAUGGACCCUACAACAUGGGACAAAAUUGCAUUGUACUAAUUGUAUGGGGUGA